CCCUACGGGUGGCAGCAGUGAGGAAGAUUGGGCAAUGGACGCAAGUCUGAACCAGCCAUGCCGCGUGCAGGAAGACGGCUCUAUGAGUUGUAAACUGCUUUGGGACGAGGGGAAACGCAGAUACGCGUAGCUGUCUGAAAGGAUCGGACGAAGAAGGAUCGGCGAACUCCGUGCCAGCAGCCGCGGUAAUACGGAGGAUUCAAGCGUUAUCCGGCUUUAUUGGGUUUAAAGGGUGCGUAGGCGGUCGGAUAAGUUAGAGGUGAAAUCCCGAGGCUCAACUUCGGAAUUGCCUCUGAUACUGUUCGGCUAGAGCGUAGUUGCGGUAGGCGGAAUGUCUGGUGUAGCGGUGAAAUGCUUAGAGAUCAUUCAGAACACCGAUUGCGAAGGCAGCUUACCAAGCUACUUCUGACGUUGAGGCACGAAAGCGUGGGGAGCAAACAGGAUUAGAUACCCCAGUAGUC
Molecule: ribosomal RNA, 461 nt
Filed under: uncultured bacterium
Lineage: Bacteria
Description: partial 16S ribosomal RNA
Rfam family: Bacterial small subunit ribosomal RNA
Source: RNAcentral